Molecule: transfer RNA, 97 nt
Filed under: Alteromonas mediterranea
Lineage: Bacteria; Pseudomonadati; Pseudomonadota; Gammaproteobacteria; Alteromonadales; Alteromonadaceae
Description: tRNA-Ala(tgc)
Source: RNAcentral
CGAAACGUGGCUGAAGAAGGUCAAUACCAUCUACGUUUGCAGUGUUGGCAAAACCAUAACGCUCAGUGAAGUUUUCGUUCAAACGAGGCGUAUCGUC